This 219-nucleotide long non-coding RNA is filed under the name Lathyrus oleraceus (garden pea). Its description in RNAcentral is "Pisum sativum (pea) long non-coding RNA (PSAT_LNC024285)". The record is from RNAcentral. Lineage: Eukaryota; Viridiplantae; Streptophyta; Magnoliopsida; Fabales; Fabaceae.
UCGCUGGAGAUAUAUUGAGGAUUAUUCAGUAAAGCAUGUCUGUUCAUGGAACUCUUGUCCAUUAGACUCAAUUGGGAGGCUGAUAACUUGUGAAGAAAAGUCCAUCUUGGACAAAUACUUCAAAGAGAACCAUUGAGGAUAAAGCUGUUGGGGAUACCUUCCUUAAGGAAUCCUGCUGGUAUGAAACUCUCUUGGGGAGCUCAUGAAGUUUUGAUGGAG